This is a non-coding RNA of Pelobates cultripes (western spadefoot toad), 745 nucleotides long. Lineage: Eukaryota; Metazoa; Chordata; Amphibia; Anura; Pelobatidae. The record is from the annotation of a GenBank genome assembly.
GUGUGUGGUGCAGUGUGUUGGGGGGGUUCUGUGUGUAUGAGGGUGCGGUGUGUGUGUGAGGGGUGCGGUGUGAGUGAUGGGUGUGAGAGUGCCGUGGGAGAGUGCCGUAUGUGAGGGUGCGGUGUGUGAGAGUGCCGUGUGAGAGUGCCGUGUGAGAGUGCUCUGUGAGAGAGUGCUCUGUGAGAGAGUGCUCUGUGAGAGUGCUGUGAGUGUGAUGGGUGUGAGGGUGCUGUGAGAGAGUGCUGUGUGUGUGAAAGUGCUGUGUGUGUGAGAGUGCUGUGAGAGUGCUGAGAGUGUGAUGGGUGUGAGAGUGUUGUGUGAGAGAGUGCUGUGUGUGAUGGGUGUGAGAGUGCUGUGUGUGAUGGGUGAGAGUGUUGUGUGUGAUGGGUGUGAGUGCUGUGUGUGAUGGGUGUGAGAGUGCUGUGUGUGAUGGGUGUGAGAGUGCUGUAUAAAUGUUAUUGUGUGUGUGGGGGGGGGGUAAAUAAAAAAAAUAAAUAAAACAAAAAAACAGGUAUUAUUCCCCCCCCUCCCUUCUUACCUUUAGCCUGGGAGAGGGAGGGGGGGGACCGGCACGCUGGCACCUGGCAGGCGGGGUGGCGGGGUUCCCUGGUGGUCCUCGUGGGUAAGUGAACUCUCGCGAGAUCCGGUCGUUGCCAUGGCAACGCGCCGGAUCUCGCGAGAGGAGCCCGGCGGAGCUGCAAAUUAGAGCUCCGCCGGGUCCUCUCUCCAGCCUGGCUGGCUGGCU